GUGAGGAAUAUUGGUCAAUGGGCGAGAGCCUGAACCAGCCAAGUCGCGUGAAGGAAGAAGGAUCUAUGGUUCGUAAACUUCUUUUGCAGGGGAAUAAAGUGCGGGACGUGUCCUGUUUUGUAUGUACCCUGAGAAUAAGGAUCGGCUAACUCCGUGCCAGCAGCCGCGGUAAUACGGAGGAUCCGAGCGUUAUCCGGAUUUAUUGGGUUUAAAGGGUGCGUAGGUGGUUUGAUAAGUCAGCGGUGAAAGUUUGCAGCUUAACUGUAAAAAUGCCGUUGAAACUGUCGGACUUGAGUGUAAAUGAGGUAGGCGGAAUGCGUGGUGUAGCGGUGAAAUGCAUAGAUAUCACGCAGAACUCCGAUUGCGAAGGCAGCUUACUAAGCUACAACUGACACUGAAGCACGAAAGCGUGGGGAUCAAACAGGAUUAGAAACCCUUGUAGUCC
This 445-nucleotide ribosomal RNA is filed under the name uncultured bacterium. Its description in RNAcentral is "partial 16S ribosomal RNA". It matches the Rfam family "Bacterial small subunit ribosomal RNA", at positions 354 to 796 of the family's 1533-position model. The record is from RNAcentral.